Molecule: RNase P RNA, 399 nt
Filed under: Hymenobacter ginkgonis
Lineage: Bacteria; Pseudomonadati; Bacteroidota; Cytophagia; Cytophagales; Hymenobacteraceae
Description: Bacterial RNase P class A
Rfam family: Bacterial RNase P class A
About the family: Ribonuclease P (RNase P) is a ubiquitous endoribonuclease, found in archaea, bacteria and eukarya as well as chloroplasts and mitochondria.
Source: Rfam by way of RNAcentral
GCAGUGAGCCACCCCACCGCCGCGCCCAACGCAAAUGCGGGCGGGGAGGAAAGUCCGGGCAACGCAGGGCACCCUGCUUCCUAACGGGAAGGACUGGCCAAUCGGGCCAGGACAGCCAGUGCCACAGAGAAUAACCGCCCGCAAGGGUAAGGGUGAAAAGGUGCGGUAAGAGCGCACCAGCGGCUAGGUGACUACGCCGGCUGGGUAAACCUCAGGGGUUGCAAAACCAAAUAAGCGAACACGUUGGCGGCCUUCGGGCAGCUGGCACCGGGCGGCCCGCUCGGGUUCGCGGGUAGGUUGCUAGAGCCCGUCGGCGACGGCGGGCCUAGAUAAAUGGUGGGGCUGCUUCGGAGGAAACUCGGGGGCAGACAGAACCCGGCUUAUCGGCUCAUUGCUUAA